UGCGUAGGCGGCUUGGUAGGUCUGGUGUGAAAGCCCCGGGCUCAGCCCGGGAAGGGCACUAGAAACUGCCAAGCUAGAGUGCCGGAGGGGAGAGUGGAAUUCCUGUGUAGCGGUGAAAUGCGUAGAUAUCAGGAGGAAUACCGGUGGCGAAAGCGACUCUCUGGACGGCAACUGACGCUGAGGCACGAAAGCGUGGGGAGCAAACA
RNAcentral lists this ribosomal RNA (206 nucleotides) under uncultured bacterium. RNAcentral describes it as "partial 16S ribosomal RNA". It matches the Rfam family "Bacterial small subunit ribosomal RNA", at positions 568 to 774 of the family's 1533-position model. The record is from RNAcentral.